Long non-coding RNA from Nomascus leucogenys (northern white-cheeked gibbon), 107 nucleotides. RefSeq lists it as uncharacterized. Lineage: Eukaryota; Metazoa; Chordata; Mammalia; Primates; Hylobatidae. The transcript is spliced from 3 exons. The record is from RefSeq and is a predicted model, not a curated record.
UCUUUUGUGGUUCCAUAUGAAAUUUAAAGUAGUUUUUUCUAAUUCUGUGCAGAAUGUCAAUGAUAGUUUGAUGGAAAUAGCAUUGAAUCUGUAAAUUGCUUUGGGCA